GCUGGGCAUGGUGGCGCAUGCCUGUAAUCCCAGCUACUCAGGAGGCUGAGGCAGGAGAAUCACUUGAACCUGGGAGGCGGAGGUUGCAGUGAGCCGAGAUCAUGCCACUGCACUCCAGCCUGGGUGACAGAGUAAGACUCUGUCUCAA
Molecule: unclassified non-coding RNA, 148 nt
Organism: Macaca fascicularis (crab-eating macaque)
Lineage: Eukaryota; Metazoa; Chordata; Mammalia; Primates; Cercopithecidae
Rfam family: Metazoan signal recognition particle RNA
About the family: The signal recognition particle (SRP) is a universally conserved ribonucleoprotein.
Source: Ensembl